This 428-nucleotide ribosomal RNA is filed under the name uncultured bacterium. Its description in RNAcentral is "bacterial SSU rRNA". It matches the Rfam family "Bacterial small subunit ribosomal RNA", at positions 354 to 796 of the family's 1533-position model. The record is from RNAcentral.
GUAGGGAAUAUUGCGCAAUGGGGGAAACCCUGACGCAGCGACGCCGCGUGAGUGAUGAAGGCCUUCGGGUCGUAAAGCUCUGUUGCAGGGGAAUAAAAAAAUGAAGGUACCCUGUGAGGAAGGAUCGGCUAACUUCGUGCCAGCAGCCGCGGUAAGACGAGGGAUCCUAGCGUUGCUCGGAAUCAUUGGGCGUAAAGAGGGCGUAGGUGGCUUGGUAAGUCAGGUGUGAAAGCCCAGGGCUCAACCCUGGAAGUGCAUUUGAUACUGCUGAGCUUGAGUGUCGGAGAGGUUACCGGAAUACCUGGUGUAGUGGUGAAAUACGUAGAUAUCAGGUGGAACACCGGAGGCGAAGGCGGGUAACUGGCCGAACACUGACACUGAGAUCCGAAAGCGUGGGGAUCAAACAGGAUUAGAAACCCCAGUAGUCC